GACGAACGCUGGCGGCGUGCCUAAUACAUGCAAGUAGGACGCAGUUGCGAACGGGUGAGUAACGCGUUGGUAACUGCCUAUUAGAGGGGGGUAACUCUUGGACACGAUAGCUAAUACCCCAUACUAGUUGCUGGACCUUCGUUGUAUUAGCUAGUAGGUAGGGUAAUGGCCUACCUAGGCAACGAUACGUAGCCCACCGGAGAUGGGGAGCAGCCAGACUGGGACUGAGUAAGGGCCCAGAGUCCCACGGCAGGCAGCAGUAGUGAAUCGUCGGCAAUGGGGGGAACCUUUACCGAGCAACGCCGAGGUAGUGAAGAAGGUUGUCGGAUCGUAAAGCUCUGUUGUUAAGGUGGCGGUACUUAACCAGAAAGGGACGGCUAACUACGUGCCAGCAGCCGCGGUAAUUC
This 407-nucleotide ribosomal RNA is filed under the name uncultured bacterium. Its description in RNAcentral is "partial 16S ribosomal RNA". It matches the Rfam family "Bacterial small subunit ribosomal RNA", at positions 28 to 526 of the family's 1533-position model. The record is from RNAcentral.